GAAUGUUAUUUGGCAUGAGGUUUUUACCCUACAUGAUUGUUUUUUUUUUUAUGGCUCAGUGGUGUGUGUGUUUGGGUUUGACAUGAGAUGGAUGAUUUUUGAGCAUAGGGUUCUGCUGUGUGUGUCUCCCACACACACCUGGCAUGGGGUACUACGUGUGUUUGGUUCCACCUGGCAUGGGGUUCUACGUGUGUGCCCUAGGUUCUAUGUGUGUGUGUCCGGCUUGCUUUGACAGUGUUCAUACGGGGGUCUGUGUGAUUGGCUUGGGAUAUUGGAAUGGUCAAAUAAAUCAUACCUGAUGGACGGGCACACGUUUACUUAAGGGCCUCAGUAGACAUGAAGAGCCCUGAGCGACGCUCCGGAGCGAUAUCCAACACACUGGGCAGGAAGGAGAGGAUCCAAAUCAAGUGUAAAAGGAUGCAAGCGGCGUGUUCAGAUCAGUGACUUCAAACUAGGACUAAACCAAUCAGGAUCAAUGGAGGAUGGACAUCUAAAGGCAUUCCACGAGGAGAGUCUGAAGUUGGAAAGGGACCUAAAUGGGUAUUCAAGAUGACCUUCAGACCUGUAAUGAGACGGCUCUUCCUACCUGGCUGGAUUGAUGGAGAGCCCUGUGGAUCUUGUCUUGCUCUCAGUUGCACGUCUUCUCAGGCUGUACUGUAUUUGUUUCGGACAGGACUAGCUGAACGAUUGGUUCCCUUAAUCAGAACCAAUCUGGGAACUCCAACUAGUGCGCUCUUUGAGCUGAAGCUGUGCUCUUCAGCUGAGGAGGUAAGGAAGCCUUCACUGGGGCUUCAAGGUGUAAAGAGGAUAAUGUUUUAAAGUGUUCCAUGGUACUCUGAUGAAGAACGUUGUUGUGUUCCACUGGCUGAGAGGAAGAACCCUCACAUCUUCCUCUUGGCCUUUCUCCUCUGAGAAUCCUGGCGUCAUCUAGAAGGAUAUUCCAGCUCAUGUAACUGAUGUCACGAUAGAUGCUCAAACACUUGGUUUCUCCUGAGGGGCGUGUCUAUAGAACUGUAGACUUCAGACAGCACUGUAUCCCAGCAUGCAUCUCUGCUCACUCAGACCACACCCCCAUGAAUAGGAUGCAACACUCUAGGGAUGGUGAAGUAGAGUUUUAUAAGUAACGAGGGAGCAGACAAAGGUGAUUAGAACACAAUGGCAUGUCAAGUCUGUAAAUCUUUAAACCAUGAAGAUGGUUGGAUAGUUCGGAAUUGGGCUUCUUUUUUACUAUGGGCAGUCCUUUCACUCGGAUGCCCACAUCUCACUGGACCUGUACAUGUGUUGGCUGGCUGGCAUGAUUUGCUGUUGGUGAUGAGGCGGUCAGGGUGACGUUGCAGGGCUAUGGUCGGCUCUCUGUGAGCUCAACGUUUAGAUUUGCUCUGUAUGGUUUGUACCCUGAAUAAUCUAGAUAAUUGUAAAAUGUAGACACGGUUUUGUAUUGAAUGAUUCCAGGAUUUUAGGUUUAAAGUUGUUGUGGGACGUACAUGGUAGUUUGGUUCUUCGUACGGUUUUGAGUGAUACAACUUGUACACACUGGGUGCAUAAUAAUGUAAAUGUAAUGUAAUGACCAACAGCAACAAACGGAUCUCCUCAAGGUAAGUCUGUUGGCUGUGUUUUAAUGAAGACCAUCGCUGGACUUCAGGAACUUCCUCCGUUCAGCUCAAGGUGAGGCGCUGGUUCUGUUUUUUUCUUUGGUUGGUUCCGGCCGGAAUGUUCGGAUUCCAGUCGGACAGUUUGUGCUUCCCGCCGUGGAAGGUUCUGAGUGCGGUCACUUGAUUUAGUCCCAAUGGUUAGCAUAGAACGUAGUCUUGACAACCAUAAGAAACCACCUGGCAGUUAGUUGGACGGUAGUCCCCUGAGGGAAUCUGGCGGAACGUUCUGGAUUGCAUUUGCGUAACCUCGAGCCGCUGCCAAAGUUUGAUAUUAAAUACAUACUGACGCGUACGUCGUAAAAUAUGUUGAUCAUUUCCGAUGGUUGCGCCGUACUUUUAACCACGUUGACGUGACGGGACUCUCGCUGCGUACAAAACAGUGUUCUACUUGCGGGCCCAUUUUUGACAUCAUUGAAGGCUGAAAAUCAUUUCAAGGUGGAAGACAAUUUGACAUUUCUUCAACGGAACGCAGCACCUGAAAAUGGUACAUAUUUGAUUUAAUAUCGAUACUGCUUAGUGUUCUUUGUUACUUCAGCUUUUGUACGUUCUAAAUAUCUGCCGUCAUUAAUUGCCACUGAAGUUAAACCCUACCCAAUGGAAUGACGUUAAAUAACGACUUUGGUGCAGAGUUCUCAACUGGAUAAUAUCAAAGCUAAAAUAAUGGCCGUCCUUCCCACAUGUUACAGUAAAAGAUACUCUAGAACUGUACAUGGUUAAAAAGGUAACAUGUAGUUUGUCCCAAGGUGUCUGCCUCCUCACCCAGAGCCAGACCGCCACCUCCUGUCAGAAGUCCUCCAGAACAGCUGAAAGGUGAAGCUGAGAGGCUGGGGACCGGAGGCUUGUGGUGCCAGGAUGGACCGGAGACUGAGGUUGGAGACCAGGGGCCUGCAGCACCGGACCAGAGGACCAGGAAUCCAUGGCUGAAGAGGCUGAUGGAGGAGCCAUGCUGAAGGAGCUGAUGGAGUCGUGCUGAAGGCCCUGCCUGGUGGAGGAGCUGGUGGAGGCCCUGCCUGGUGAAGGACGUCUGUCGUGGGGUAGUUGGAGCUUGACUCGGAGACCAGGACUCUGUCUGAGGAGAGCUGAUGUAGGAGCUGAGACGCUGGAGGAGGACUAGGAAUCGACCAACAGGAUUCCUCAUAAAACGUGUUUCUGGAGCGGAUGCGAGCUGGUAGGGGAGCCGUGAAUCUGGAGGAUUACCAUCACACUACUAACAUGGAUUACGUUAGGGCCAGACUCGCGCUGUUUGUUCCAGACCAGGACUCUGGCUGAGGAGAGCUGAUGGAGGAGCCAAGACUCUGGAGGGCGACAUCACUCUACCAACCAGGAUCCUCACCAGGAAUCUGGAGGACUGAUGGGGAAGCCGUACAUCUGGAAGGCAAAUCCUGAGGACAACCAGGACUCUACCAUCAAGGAUUCCUCGUAAGUGCAUUAUCUGGACAUAGUGGACUAGACACACCUGAGCUGAACCUC
Molecule: long non-coding RNA, 3122 nt
Organism: Gadus macrocephalus (Pacific cod)
Lineage: Eukaryota; Metazoa; Chordata; Actinopteri; Gadiformes; Gadidae
Exons: 8
Source: RefSeq, a predicted model, not a curated record